AGCAAUAGAAUAGCUUCUAAAGGGUGGACGGUAUAUCAUCCCCAAAUGAAAGGGGGUGAGGCCGGUGACAGUAUUUGAAUCACUAAUGCUUAUGAUUGCAUUUGCAACAUUGGUUGUUGUGAUCCUUACGUCAAAAGAAAAAUAAUCCACCCUUGCUCUAGAGAAGCAGGGUGGAUCCAUCAUUAUGUGUGAUCUGCCGCCCCCUUUAAAGGGCAGUCUAUUGUGUAAGCCGAUGGUGUUACCAGCACCGUCG
RNAcentral lists this small RNA (253 nucleotides) under Halalkalibacter okhensis. Its description in RNAcentral is "Bacillus okhensis BsrG". It matches the Rfam family "BsrG". From Rfam's summary of the family: bsrE, bsrG and bsrH pair through intermolecular interactions with antisense sRNAs. SR4 interaction with the 3'UTR of bsrG RNA promotes bsrG degradation and inhibits its translation. SR5 also overlaps bsrG from nucleotide 163 to 52 (Rfam overlap check). Lineage: Bacteria; Bacillati; Bacillota; Bacilli; Caryophanales; Bacillaceae. The record is from Rfam by way of RNAcentral.